This 4132-nucleotide unclassified non-coding RNA is filed under the name Hevea brasiliensis (rubber tree). Lineage: Eukaryota; Viridiplantae; Streptophyta; Magnoliopsida; Malpighiales; Euphorbiaceae. The record is from RNAcentral.
GGCUUCUUCCCUUUUCUCUCUCCUCCUUCAGCCAAACUCUCACCGCAACAUCCUCCCUUUCACCCUCUCUCGUCUUCUUCUCCUUCUCUACCUGCUGCCGAGUAAAGCCAAUUUUCUGUCUCUGCUGAAGCCUGAAAAAGCCUUUGAAUUUGUAGUUUAAGUACAAUAUAGUACAAAUGGCUGAAGCUUUGCAUGAAUUACUGCGACGGGAGUGCGAAAUCCUACGCGGUUAUGAACUUCGUCUCCUCCGCUGCACUGUCGCUCCUCCGCCGUCCUCACUUUCACCAUCCUCGGAUUCGAGUCAUCAUAAUAAUGAUGACAAUAUUAAUAAUCUCCACUCACUCAUAAAUGAACUUCUUAGUUCAAUUGAGACUGGAAAUUAUCUGCAAGCUCUCUUUUCUGAUGCAGCCAAACUCUUAACUCAGUUGCCUGACUUGCCUAAAUGUUCUUCUGCUGAACAUGUUUACUCUGAGUUGACGGAGUGUGUGGGGCUAUUUAUCAUGAGCGAAGGUGUUGAUGAUGAGGAGAGGGCCUGCAGGGUGAUUCUGGUCUUGUGUGUUGCCGUUGCUGCAAUUUUCUUCUUCACUCAGUGUAACAUUACUGGACCAAUAGAUGAGAUUCCUAGAUUUCCUCUGCCAUUCAAAGUGCCAGAAGGUGGAGAAUUUGUGGAAUGGGAGGAUUGGGCACGCAAGCAGCUUAUGUCUGGUGGCUGUCACUUGUUUGGGAAGUUCUCGAAUCUUCAGUUUAUAGUUUUUGCUAAAAUGUUGGUCAUGAAGACAAAAGACUUGCUAUUUGAAGGAACGGUGUCUUCCACAUAUGGAAUCAAAAGCAUUUCAUGGUGGCUUGCCAGGACCUUACUUGUUCAACAGAGAAUUUUAGAUGAGCAAUCUUCUGAGUUGUUUGAUCUAUUGCAAGUGAAUAUGGGCGAAACACUACGUCAUUUUGGCACUUUGGAGCAAGUAACAAGUUAUUGGGGUGCCAAUUUGCAUGAUGAAGAAGCUUCUAGUAUUGUAUCAAUGGUCCAUUUGGAAGCAGGAAUAACAGAAUAUGCCUAUGGACGGGUUGAUUCAUGCAGACUACAUUUUGGAUCAGCUCAAGCAUCAGCUGGGCUUCAACUAUCUGUCACUGGAGUUCUUGGCUACCGUACUGUGCAUCAGGCAGAGCCAAAGGCACAAAGGGUACUUCUUGUCAAUAGAAGCUCAUCAAAUAGUGGUGCUAGUGUUACCGGCCGUGAUUCCACAAUUAAUGAAGAAACAUUGCAUCUGCACCAACAUGAAUCCUCUGAUAUCCUUAUGACACCAAAGUUGCUAGAGAAUGGUGAUGAAUCUGGAAUUAGUAUACAAGGAAAUCAAAAAAGUAGUCUGGGUGUUGUUGCCCCUUUAACAGCAAUCCAGCAAGCAGUGAUUUUGGCAGAGUGCCUUUUGAUUGAAAAGAGCACUAGACAAGAUGAAUUGCAAAGGUGGGAUAUGGCUCCAUUCAUAGAGGCAAUUGAUUCCCAAUCGUCAUCAUUGUUUAUAAUAAGAUAUUUAUGCAACCUCUUGCGUAUCCGUUGGGAGUCGACUCGUAGCCAUACAAAGGAGCGUGCUCUAGGAAUGAUAGAAAAAUUGGUUGAGGGCAUUCAUAAACCUUUUACUGGAGUGGCUAACAGGAUUCUUCUUUCUUAUGUGGCUUAUGUUCCUGCUAUUCCAAUCCUGCAGAAGGAAUAUGGUGAACUUUUAGUGAGCUGUGGUUUGAUUGGGGAGGCAAUCAAAAUCUUUGAGGGUUUAGAGUUGUGGGACAAUUUAAUAUACUGUAACUGCUUAUUGGGGAAAAAAGCAGCAGCUGUUGAAUUGAUCAAGACACGGUUAUCUGAAAUACCUAAUGACCCAAGACUAUGGUGUUCAUUAGGUGAUGUUACAAAUGAUGAUAGUUGCUAUGAAAAAGCCCUUCAAGUUUCUGACAAUAAAUCUACGCGUGCAAAGAGAUCUCUUGCUCGUAGUGCAUAUAAUAGAGGAAAUUAUGAGACAUCUAAAAUCCUUUGGGAAUCUGCAAUGGCCUUGAAUUCUUUAUAUCCAGAUGGUUGGUUUGCACUUGGUGCUGCUGCCUUGAAGGCUAGGGAUGUUGACAAGGCUUUGGAUGGAUUUACUCGAGCUGUUCAGCUGGAUCCUGAAAAUGGGGAGGCUUGGAAUAAUAUUGCAUGUUUGCAUAUGAUCAAGAAGAGGAGCAAUGAGGCAUUCAUUUCAUUCAAGGAAGCCGUCAAGUUCAAACGAGAUAGCUGGCAGUUGUGGGAGAACUACAGUCAAGUUGCGAUGGAUGUGGGCAAUGUUCGUCAGGCUCUGGAAGCUAUACAGAUGAUUUUACAUAUAACCAGUUGUACACAAGCUGAUGCUAAAUUAUUGGAGAGAAUUAUGCUAGAAAUGGAACGAAGAGCUUCAAGUAUAGUGACCAGUGAUAAUCAUUCUACCAAUCAAACUUGUUUCAGUGACUCUAAUAAUGGUACUAUAAAUGAUUCAGAGAUGCAAUUUGGAUGGUCACACGAAACUGAGCAGUUGGUGGAGCUACUGGGUAAAAUACUUCAGCAGGUUUGUGGAUAUUUUUAUGGCAGAAGUUUUACUUUUUGUUCCUCUGUUCCAUUUUAUGCACAGAUUAUAUUUUGCUAUGUGUUAGUGCUACUCUUUGUGGAUAUUUGAGGUCAUAAGUUAAUUGUUCCUGUUGGCUAUUUUCUACGAUUAAAGCAACACGAUAUUGCAGCAUAGCUAUCAAUCCAUAUAUAUCUGCCUUUGAUUAGUAUGUUUAGCAUUCACAUUAAGUUACUUGGAAAUGUUAGAGAAAUCAGCUUUGACUAGCUUUAUUACUGUUGGUGGUGAUUUUAAUUGUGUGGUAUACGUGCAAAUUAUUAGCAUCCUAUAAGUUAUGUUGAAGUAUUUUUGUUCGAGAUACAGAUAAUUAAAAGUGAUAGUAGAGCAGAUAUAUGGGGUUUAUAUGCAAGAUGGCACAAGAUUAAAGGAGAUGUCACAAUGUGCUCUGAAGCCCUCUUGAAGCAAGUUAGAUCAUAUCAGGGAUCUGAGUUGUGGAAAGAUAGAGAAAGAUUUAAAAAGUUUGCACAUGCCUCAUUGGAACUAUGUAAGGUGUAUAUGGAAAUAUCUUCCUCCACUGGUAGCCGUCGUGAACUUUUUACUGCUGAGAUGCACCUCAAAAAUAUAGUUAAACAGGCCGAGAGCUUUUCAGAGACAGAAGAAUUCAGGGAUAUUCAAGCUUGUCUUGAUGAAGUGAAGAUGAAGCUUCAAUCCAAUUCUUUGCCAACUUGAGAGAAGGCUAAAACAUCCGUUUGUGAUAUUACAGGUGAUAAAUACAAGUAAACAAUUUUCAUUCACGAGCACACUAUCCUUUUGCUUUAUGUGUUUUUUCAUUCCAUCUUUAUUCUUUAUUCAGUUCAAAAUUACCGGUAUAUUUUUUGAAUCUUAAUAGAAUUUGUUGCCUGAAAUUCUUGCGUCUUGGAAUCAAUCUGCUACUACUACUCUUGUUUCAGCUUAUCUUUUUUGUCUGUCAUUUGAUGAUUUUGAGAAGCUUGCUUCUUUUACUGAAUCACUUGCAGAUUGAACAACCAUUCUCCCACUCCCCUUCCCUCAGUAAUAGAAGGAUCGUUUACUUUUAUUUUCAGGGGAGUGCUUAAUUUUUGUUGAAACACAACGAGGGACUCUUGUAGGUUUAAAGGAAACCUCACUUUUGGGCUGAUAGAAGAUUAGGAUUUUGUCUACCUCUCCUUUUUCUCCUUUUCAUUAUCAUGUAACUUAAUCUAAUAUAAAAUCCGAUUCAACUUGUAGCAUCUGUUUAUGUAUACUUGAUCAUGGUUGUAUAUUUAUUAUAAAAUUCAAGUUCCAUUUUAAUUUUGGUCUUAACCUUGAACAUCCAUGGCGGGGAUGGAAUAUGGGGGUUAAGUUAUUUAUUUAUUCAUCGAGCAUCGGAGAAGGGAGAUUUUAACAUUAUCAUCCAAUUGUUGUACCAGUGGCCGUCUCCUCGUAAUGAACUCUAUUAAUUGAAAUCUUUCUGUCCUGUUUGAUACAUGUAGAUGAAUCUUGAAUUUCAAAUUAUUGUGUUGCAUAUAUUAAAUUUACUUGAUAAAUGUGAUUUUGAUUUUGAAUAACAAUAAUAA